Molecule: ribosomal RNA, 413 nt
Filed under: uncultured microorganism
Description: bacterial SSU rRNA
Rfam family: Archaeal small subunit ribosomal RNA
Source: RNAcentral
GCGCACCAGUCGCGAAACCUCCGCAAUACACGAAAGUGUGACGGGGCCAUCCCGAGUGCCGUCCGCUGAGGACGGCUUUUCCCCAGUGUACACAGCUGGGGGAAUAAGGAGAGGGCAAGCCUGGUGUCAGCCGCCGCGGUAAUACCAGCUCUCCGAGUGGUGGGGACGCUUGUUGGGCCUAAAGCAUCCGUAGCCGGCUGGGCAAGUCCUCCGUUAAAUCCAACGAUUCAAUCGUUGGGCUGCGGGGGAUACUGUCCAGCUUGGGGGCGGGAGAGGCCGACGGUAUUCCCGGGGUAGGGGUGAAAUCCUAUAAUCCCGGGAGGACCACCAGUGGCGAAGGCUGUCGGCUAGAACGCGCCCGACGGUGAGGGAUGAAAGCUGGGGGGAGCGAACCGGAUUAGAUACCCCGUAGU